AUGGAGAUCCGUCGUCUCGCCUUGCGCCGGCGCGAUGUGCCACGGCCGUUCCGCGAGGAGCCGGGCCGAGUGCCACAACGCCAGAAAAGAUCGAUCUCGUUGCUAGUUGGCGAUGAGAUCGCCAUGGCUUUGUGCUGCACAAACCCCGAGUGCGGCAUCAAAUAUGCAUCUCACGUUGGAUGGAAUCGAUCUUCCUGUGAUCUGUGCCGUAGUCGCUUGAGAGAGACGUGGUGGUGCGUAACCGCCGUCGUCUUGGCCGGAUUGAUCGCUCUUGGCAGAGUCUAUGUGCUGAUAACGUGUUGUAGUAUAUCAAAGUAA
Molecule: ribosomal RNA, 318 nt
Filed under: Triticum aestivum (bread wheat)
Lineage: Eukaryota; Viridiplantae; Streptophyta; Magnoliopsida; Poales; Poaceae
Description: partial small subunit ribosomal RNA
Source: RNAcentral